Molecule: long non-coding RNA, 1609 nt
Organism: Cydia strobilella
Lineage: Eukaryota; Metazoa; Arthropoda; Insecta; Lepidoptera; Tortricidae
Exons: 2
Source: RefSeq, a predicted model, not a curated record
AUCUCGUUCAAACCAAGUUUCGGUGGAAGUGUGCAUGGUAAUGUACAUCAUAUAUUUUUUUCAGUUUUAUCAUUCUCUUAUUUUAGAAGUUACAGGGAGGGGGGACACACAUUUUACCACUUUGGAAGUGUCUCUCGCGCAAACUAUUCAGUUUAGAAAAAAAUAAUAUUAGGAACUUCAAUAUCAUUUUUGAAGACCUACCUAUAGAUACCCCACACGUAUGGGUUUGACGAAAAAAAUUUUUUUGAGUUUCAGUUCUAAGUAUGGGGAGCCCCCAAAAUUUAUUGUUUUUUUUAUAUUUUUGUGUGAAAAUCUUAAUGCGGUUCACAGAAUACAUCUACUUACCAAGUUUCAACAGUAUAGUUCUUAUAGUUUCAGAGAAAAGUGGCUGUGACAUACGGCCGGACGGACAGACAGACAGACAGACAGACAGACAUGACGAAUCUAUAAGGGGUUCCGUUUUUGCCAUUUGGCUACGGAACCCUAAAAAGGGGGCCGCUACGUACUGUAUUUUGUAUUUAAGUACCUUUUGAAUACAUUAUAAUAGUUUUUACGUUGCUGGAUUCGUCAAUCUAUGCGUCCAAAGUUAAAACGGCCGUUUUCGUUGUGAGUUCAUAGAUCGACGAAUCCAGCAACAUAAAAACUAGUUUGAUGUAUUCAAAAGGUACUUAAAUACAAAAUACAGUACGAAGCGGCCCACUUUCUAAUAGAGCUAUCGUUAAAUUUAAAUAAUCACAAUUAUUUAGCAGUGGCGCUAGUGACCACGUUAAUCGGCUUCUUAAAUGAAGUGUUUGUCGUCCAUAAGAGGAACUAGUGAAUUUAUAAAGCUUUGUCACUCAAAUAACUUCUUUUUAAAAUUUAUUUUUUGGCAUAAGCCACUUAGUAUUGACCAUUCCAUUUGACUAAUGUUACUAGUGCUAGGUAUAUACUUUUAUUGUUGCUAUUGCCAUCUAGCAACUCUAGUAUGUAUAUACUUAUGGAAUAUGUUUUUUGCUGUUAUUUCUAGUGAUGUGAUGUGAGGGAACAAUUUCGUACUUAAGAAUUAGGAAGCUAAGAAAUGUUAUAAAUGUUAUAAUAAUGAAACAAAUGGCUAAAUGGAAUGUAUUUAUUUGACAACAGCAAUUGGAUCCAUUAUAUUUUUAUAUGUAUUUGUCUACCCACUUAUUUGAGAAAUUGUUUCAACUUAUAUUACGGGGGCUGGUAAUACCUACUCUUUAUUUAUGGUGCAUUUGAUGAGAUUCGUUAUGAUCAAAUACUUAUAUUUUUUUUAUUUAUUAUCGUGUAUAUCAUACAAUGUAUAUUUUGUUAUAAUAUGAGUAUUAUUUCAAUAUCCGCCCAAAUACAAAUUAUUGCUUUAUUAUUCAACCUUUUUCACAUGAUUUCCAAGUCAUUAAAAAUUCUUUCUAUAAGUACUUAAUUUCUACAAAUACAAGAAACCACUUCUGUGGCACCUAUAGUUAUAUUUUUAAAUACAACAGCAUUUAAUUCAGAGCAUUAUUAAGUAUAAAAUAAAUUACCGUGAUCGACUAGUAAACUUAAACUAGGUAAAUUGGGAAAUUGUAAAUAUGUAUAAUAAUAUUUUUUCAUUAAAUAUAUUGCACCUUACUAA